This is a long non-coding RNA of Lytechinus pictus (painted urchin), 487 nucleotides long. RefSeq lists it as uncharacterized. The transcript has 3 exons. The record is from RefSeq and is a predicted model, not a curated record. Lineage: Eukaryota; Metazoa; Echinodermata; Echinoidea; Temnopleuroida; Toxopneustidae.
GCAAUUGAUUGCAAAUCGACUGCAACUUUGCAGCCGAUUCCGAUCGACUGCAACUAGCAAUCAAUCGCCAAUUUGCGUUGCAAGAAAAAGGCUUGCGAUUGAACGCAAGUUGCAGCUGAUCUGCAGACGAUUUGCAGCUGUAAACAGGGUCUGCAGCACAAGACUAGCCGAAAAAGCAAAAUAAUGGCUUGCAACAAUCCUGUUUGUGGAAGAGAUUAUGACAAAGAAGUCUGGAACCUCAGAACCACCAUAACUGUGUCUGCUACAAUGUGUGUUCUUGCAACCAGCUGAUUGAUUCAUUUUAUCAACUCUUGAAUGGUUGAUUAUCAGAACUGAAUUCAGAGCUGAUCCUGUCUGUAGUAACAUCAUUAUAAGAGUGGACUACAGAAUGAGGGCGUUGCUUGUUUAAAAACUUCACUCCAUGGAGCUCUCCAAAUUCAUCGCAAAUUAGACUGCUUCUGGAAACCAGAUUUGUUCGUUCAAGCAG